AGAACAAAAAACUAUUAAAAAAAAAUGAAAUAAUUGAUAAAUUACUCGAUUAAAAAUUUUACACAAAGAACACAUAAUAAACAGGUUAAUUGAUAACAAAAAUGUAAUUAAAACCACAGAAAAUGAGUAAUCAACUCAUAAAUAGCUAUUAAAUGCAAUCAGAUUAAUGUGUUGUUUACUGAAAAAACAAUGUUUUCUAUUGCUAAAAUUUAUUGCCUACCUAAAACGCCUUAAACGUUUUAUAAAUAAGGUAUUUUAUUUGGUAUAAAAAUAAACAUUACGCGCCGUAUUGAAGUUUGAUUACCGUUCAUAACGUCAUUUUGCCCUCGAAGAAAAAAGAACCUAAUAACAUUAUACAUCACAUACGAUCGAUGCAUCAGAAAUAACUAGAAUUCUAACGGUGAAUACUUCAUCUGAUCCAUCAACGCAAGAGAGCAGGUCUUCAAUUAUCAUAAUAUGCAGUUACUAUUUCUUUUUAUACAAUUUUGCGUAGCUUUAUUUAAGUACAGUGCACAUUUCUUUUAAUAGUAUACAGCAACUUCUCAAAACUAUACAUAUACAAACCAGCACAAAUAUUUACUUAAUUUUAUAUAUUUUCAUUAUAGCCAAAAGGUUUUUUGUUUUAACCAUUCAAUGAAUAGAAUUGCACACGGUAUUUAUCGCAGUCCACAGAUAUUUCUAUAACUUGUUAAAUGUGCGCGUUUCAUCAUUUUUAUACAUAUUUAAUUGAACUAAAUUUCCCAACUGUGCAAAUUAAUUAAAGAUGAAUGAUAAAACAACACUUUUUGUUAUUAUUAUUAGGUUUAACAACAGGAUAGCGUUAGUACGCCUGUUUAACUCACUGAUCCACAACACGCUGUGAUACGUUCAUCUACUGAAGUUAUUUAUAAUAAGUGUAAACGAUAUCACAAAAUCAGCAAACUUAUAAAAUAUACAUGUACAAGGUUCAAGGACGCGUCAUCUUUGACCGACGUCGUCAGGUUGCUCACCUCAUUUUUUAUUUGCUCAAAAUAAAAAUCUUGCGAUACUCGGAAGAAACGUUUUAUAACCUAAAAAAUAGCCGAUCGGGAUUUUCUACACACUCAUAGCAGUGGUAUUUUCACACUCUACUCACGCACCAAAGUUUGGAAAUUGAUCUAUUAAUCGUGAACAACCUCUAAAUUACUCACGUGGUGAAAAAACGAAAGAAGAGAUAAUCUAAAUACGUCGUGAUUUAUAAAAUGCGUAUAAGAAAUAAUAAUAGUUUGGGUAUUUUAGAUAAAAUCUUCCAUAGCAGUUUAAAAUAGAAUAAACGAACCCUAUUCUCGCGGUAUAAAUGCAUAAAGCCUCUUAAGUAUAAACUUAAAAGACGUAUACGAUGAGAAUCGUAAAAAAUUGACUAAUAUUGUAAUCGAAUUUGGUAUUGUAAAGCCGUAAAAUGAUUUUUUUUUAUGAAUUUUUUACGAGGAAACAUAUUUUUUGCUAUUAAUAUUCGAUCGAUUGCUAUCGUAUUUUUCACCAGAAAACAAAACAAAACAUUUUAUAAAUCAAUAAUUUAUAAUUAUACAAUAAUAAAUUAGAAAAUCGAUAUUUUUUCGGGAGGAGACCAAAAUAUGUAAACAUAUAUAUAGGAAGUCAGGUUGGAUUUGGUUGAGUUUAUACAUAGUUAAAAAAAAAUCGGUAAAGUGGAUCACCCUCCGGAUUUGGCCUUGAUAUAAACACAAUGCAUAGUAUGUGCUAAAUAUAAACAAAAUAUUAUCUUGUCAAGAUAAUAUCGUAUUUAUAUUUUGAACUAGCGCAUGCAGAUUUCGUGUAGUACUUAUACAUUUUAGUGCUAAUGGCUUAAAAAUGCAUUUAGUAUUUGUCAUAUUAGCCAUGUGUGUUUGUUAAAUUAUAAUGGGGAUAUUUACUUUGUAGAAGAAACCAUUUAAUAGGUCAUGGGUGUUUGCAGAGUAAAUGCAUUAUGUGUGCACCGGUACAAAAUAUUAUAUGAUUUACGGCAAGCAAUGUGUUAUGGCUUAGUAUCAAUAGCCGUUUUAAUUAGUUUCAAUUUCAUAACAGUGUGAAGAAUCGUUCGGCGAACCGAAUGCACUUGAACUUGGCAAUCGUGCUUCCGCGACGGAUUUACUCGGGUUAUCGUUCUGGUCACAUGCGUUUUGCGGUGUACUACAUAAUAAUAACUACCAGGGAAAAAAAUAAAUAAAAUAAUACAGAAAUAAAAGUAUGAUCGAGAGCACCUUGGGCAAGACGCCGCACAAGAUAAACGUAACAAACCGGAACAGCAGAAAACGAUACUUACAUGGCUAAGCAUUUCGCUGUGUAUAACAUUAUACGUACCGUAUUUGUAAUGACGACGAUGACCGCUUAAUGGAUCAAUUAUUAUUAUUUCUAUUAUGACAGACACUGAUAUUUUCGACGAAUAGUUUUUUUUUUUAUAAAGAAUGCCAGUAAAAUUAGCAAAACAAACAAAAAUAAGUUGUAAUUAACCGAACGGGACGAUUGAGUUUUCAACGGUCGAUCGUUACACUUUUUUUUUUGUUCAUUCCUUUUGACAAGCAAAAUACAAAUUUUUAAUAUUCGCAAUAAGAAGAUGUUGUUUAAGUUAAGAUAAAAGAUUAAAUAAUUAUUUCUCUUAUAUUGCAUAAAAUUAACGUUUUUCUGUUAGUUGGUUUUACCUAUUUAUGUACAUUUUCUUAGAAUAUAAAAUGAAAAUUAUUUCAUGGUGUCAUUCUAGUUUCGGUUCAAUUCUGCGCUAUGUUAUUUCAAAAAAAAAAGGCGUUAUUUCAGAUUUCACUAAAAUGUCCAGGUCUCCACCCUCGAAAUGACGCCUCUGACUCUAAACUAUAAAAGUUCUUACUUUUCAUAAGGAAUCAUAUCUAUCAGAAUUAAUGUCUGUUAAAACGCAAUGUUUGGUUUAGUACUUUGCAUUAUCUUUGUCUAUCUCCAUCGGUACCGAAUGAGGCGAUCGCGUUGCUUCACUGGCUAGCAACGACAAUGCGAACAUUUUGCACCAAGGGGGUAAAAGUGAAGUAAAGUGCCUAUGCCGUGUGCAGAGCGAAUGUGUGUGAUAGUGUAAAUCGUAUAUUGGGUGAAAUGGAAAAAGAUACACACACUGCCCCCGUUGGCCUUGCAAAAAUAAUCUAUUACAGACUCGCUUUUAAUCGGAUUAUCCGUGACUGAGGGGAUACAACAUAUAAGGGAUAAGGUUAUUAAGUCUUCAGUAGCUGCCAUACACAACAGGGGCGAAGCACAUUUAUACACUGCGAUUUUCCAUUUACCAGAUAUACAUCGUAACAAAUUACUCACUUCCUCAGGCUAAGGGCAUUCUAGUUAAGACUGCAACGCGAUCUUCGAACUACGCAAGAGCAUUUUGCCGUGAAAUUGAAACAGAACAAAGAUAAAUCGAUCGUAGAACUGUACAAGUCACUCGAAGUUUUACAAUAUAACAGAUGAACUGCCAGAAUUGAUAUUAUUUGACCGAUACCAUAUCCUAAGAACGCAGCCAGUACAAUGUGGUCGUGGUGCCUCAGUGUCACCAUACAAUCAGCAGCGAAUGAUCUUAUUUGAACUUCUUUGUCGUGAUUAUGGCCGUUAAGCCCGUAAAGAGGUACAUCACGAUAGAAUUAACAGAAUAACGGAUAUUAACAGCUCAAUAACGUAUCUUUUUAUUAAUGCGCGAGCAUGCAUUGGAUACAUAUUCUUUGAACAAGUAUUGGUACUUCUAGUGGUCUAUAAGUUUUGUCAUAUACAUGUAAAGGUACUAUUGACUGUAUCGUCCAUUACCGUAAUAUCAAUUUGCAUUCGUUUAUAUAAAUAUAAGCAAGUUUAUACAUGUUUACCUAAAAUACAGUAAUACUCGUAAAGAAAUGCAUCUAAAAAUAAAAACGUACAUUUUUCUAUUACGUUGAAAAGCCAUUCCAGCUUAGACAAAGAAUUAAUGGCACUGAUCACGACGGACGUCAAAUAAUUUAAAACAAUUUAUUCUCAUAAAGAAUUCUUUCUCGGGAAAUCUUACACAGAUAGUGAACGUAUUUUUUAGUGAACCGUUACUGAAGAUUUCUGUAUUUGAACGAGUAUGAGUUGCUUUUUAAGUUUUCCAUACAAAACGAAUGUCGGUCAUCAUAUCGAAAGUUCUAUAAAAGUAUAAUAGAAAAUAUACUAAUAAAAGGGAUAGGAGUUUCAAGUAACUUUUCUUUUCAAAACUCAUUUACUAAUUUAUUGUUUAUAGCGCAUUACAUAUCAAUAAAAUGGCAUAUCUGAAAGUUUUGCAAACUUUUUCAAAGAAAUUCACAUGAAGUCAGUACAAGCAAUCAAAAAUAUUGAAUGUUUCAAAAGAAGGAAAAAGUUAUAUGAUAAAAAUAGUGCCAUUGAAAAUUGCUAUAACUUAUUAAAUUAAUGUCAUAAGUUUGUUUUUGUGUUCCAUUGUAUUAUACUACUGUGUGGAUUGUCUCUAGUAAAAUAAAAAAAUCAUGUGAUAGAUCAAACAAACUUUAAAACUCAGCAAUUUACAGUAUCCAUCAAAGUUGUUUUAAAAUUAGUUAUCUUAUCAAAUGAAUAUACAAGAAUUUCGUCGUAAAUAUGAAUAGCUUUUUUAAAAAUAAAAAAAUAUUUGUAAUACUAACUAAAAAAUUGUAAUAAUUUAUCCAAAAUUACUUAAAACAGUCGAAUGUGAAAUCAUUCUAAAAAUUUAACGCCAUUAGGGUAGGUAAAUUGUAUUUAUAAUGUCAAAUUUUCUUCAGUAUGUCAAUAUGUUUUGGGCGUUAAUAAUAGAAACACUGUAAUGCGUACAUCACGUUUUAAGUAUAUUUUUCGUACUGUAGAGUCGAACAUUAUAAAAAAUGUUUAUUUUUUACUCAAAUAAAUAUUUGUAUUAGUAUUGGUCACAACACUCAAA
Long non-coding RNA from Daktulosphaira vitifoliae (grape phylloxera), 4873 nucleotides. RefSeq lists it as uncharacterized. The record is from RefSeq and is a predicted model, not a curated record. The transcript is spliced from 3 exons. Lineage: Eukaryota; Metazoa; Arthropoda; Insecta; Hemiptera; Phylloxeridae.